This 502-nucleotide ribosomal RNA is filed under the name uncultured Glomeromycotina. RNAcentral's name for it is "partial small subunit ribosomal RNA". It matches the Rfam family "Eukaryotic small subunit ribosomal RNA", at positions 591 to 1092 of the family's 1831-position model. The record is from RNAcentral. Lineage: Eukaryota; Fungi; Glomeromycota.
CCAAUAGCGUAUAUUAAAGUUGUUGCAGUUAAAAAGCUCGUAGUUGAAUUUCGGAAUCUGUCCGUUGGUCGGGCUUCAUUGUCCGUACUGGUGUGAUGGGUUCUUACCUUCUGAAUAACCAGCAUGCCAUUCAUUUGGUGCGCUGGGGAAGCAGGACUAUUACCUUGAAAAAAUUAGAGUGCUCAAAGCAGGCUAGUGCCUGAAUACAUUAGCAUGGAAUAAUAAAAUAGGACGGCAUGGUUCUAUUUUGUUGGUUUCUAGGAUCACCGUAAUGAUUAAUAGGGAUAGUUGGGGGCAUUAGUAUUCAAUUGUCAGAGGUGAAAUUCUUGGAUUUAUUGAAGACUAACUUCUGCGAAAGCAUUUGCCAAGGAUGUUUUCAUUAAUCAAGAACGAAAGUUAGGGGAUCGAAGACGAUCAGAUACCGUCGUAGUCUUAACCAUAAACUAUGCCGACUAGGGAUCGGACGAUGUUAAUUUUUUAAUGACUCGUUCGGCGCCUUACG